GUCUACCGAACGAAGAGCAUCAGCCUGGGCACCUUCCGGGCGGGUUGCAGGGUGACUGACCAGGGUCACUGAACAAAAGAGAAUCAUUUCUGGAGGGAGCCCUGGUACCAGGAGCUCAAUGCGGACGCCUGGUUGCUAACAUUCGGUGUUUGCGCACUGGGGGCCACACAUCGUUCUCGCUGGACGCCAGUUGCCUAGAAUCUAUUUUAAUUACACAUCACAGGCUCUUGGUACGGACGUGGGGAGAGCCAGCUAUAGACGGAGGACUAGGAAACGAAGGACAACAGCUGCAGGUAACCUCCAAGGGGACAGUCCGGGGGGUGGCAGCUGCUUCUAUUCUGCUCAGGGGGUUUCCUUGCAGGGCAUUUUUGGGGGUGGAAAGUCUUGCUCUGCGAUUCAGUGAAAACAAUCAUGGUUUAAGGAGAAAGGGAGAAAUGGUACAUGACGGGGAAAGAAGUGAUCGAUGAGGCUGGGAAAGGGUUACCACCCACUAAUUAAAACAGACAAAAGUUCAACAUUACAGUUAGUUAGUAUAUUGUACAUUGUCAAGUUUAGAACA
Myotis brandtii (Brandt's bat) is the source of this 559-nucleotide long non-coding RNA. RefSeq lists it as uncharacterized. The transcript has 3 exons. Lineage: Eukaryota; Metazoa; Chordata; Mammalia; Chiroptera; Vespertilionidae. The record is from RefSeq and is a predicted model, not a curated record.